GGCGAUUUCCACAUUGCGAGAGCAGCAGCGCUAAUCUUUAUCGCCACAAUAGUUAGGGUUUUAGUUUUUGAAUAAAAAAAUUAGGAUUCUUCGCGCUAAAUUUUCCAAUUGCCGCUUUCUCUCUGAUGUCUUUCAAAACCUAACCGUUGCCUCUCUUCCUUCUUCUAUAAUCCGAUUUGCAUUCAGCCGUGACUGCAACUCCAGCCAAGGAAGCCAUCGUGACUCCAGCCAAGGCAGCUUUGCGACUUUAGCUGUGACUCCAACUCCAGCUCCUUCGGUUUCCUCUCCCAUCUCAGUUGUAGAAAAGGAAUAAUGAUCAUGUGGACGUUGCUUCUACGAGUGCGGUUGCAUUGGACAAUCGUCGUAAGAAACGUGAUUGGUCAAGGGGAUUCACUACAACUUCUUUGUCAAGUGGCCAAAAGGUAAAAGUUAGGACCAAUCGUUAUCACCAAGGGGUUGGUAAGGAGGCAUCACGAUUACUUAUAUGGAUGGGCACACAUGUAAGGACACCCACCACGAUGCCACUAAAUUAUUGGGAAUUACAGAAAGUUCCUCAAUACUAUAAGGAAUCAGUUUGGGAAAAAGUUACGGACUAUUAUGAAAUUGAAAUUUUAGCAAAAAAAUGGGUUAUUCGAAAAAUGGGUAUCUGGUGGAAGGACUUCAGGCUUGAAUUAAAAGAAAUAUAUGAUAAAUCAAUGACGAUUGAUGAAUGCUUUGCAAAACGUGAUGUCCGUGUUCCAUUGGAUUAGUGGAAAUACCUUAUAGAUAUGUGGGCUGAUGUGAAGUAUCAGGAAAUGUGUUCGUGGAAUAAAGAGAAUAGAAAGCAACAGAAAAUGAGGCACACUGCGGGCCGACAAAGUUUUGCCCAAGUUUUUGAUGUAAAGCUUCAGGAGAUUGGUGAAGAACCGUUAAAGAUCGACUUUUACAAGAUAACACGUGUGAAAAAGAACUUAGAGCCGGUUGAUGAAGAAUCAGGUAAAAAGCUGGUAUAUAUUGUGUUUUUUAUUCAUAGUUACUAGGUCCUUGAUCAUUGUUGGUAGCUUGCUCGGUUUGCAAUAAUUUGUAGAAAGAGAUGGAAGAUAAGUUAGCGGCAAUGCCAGUAGAAUUACAGAGAAACAAAGAGACUCAUGAGUCCAUAUGGACACAAUCAUUUGAUGAGGAAUCACAUGGCCGAGUGCGCCUAGUUGGAGUUGGGGUAAGCCCAAAAGACCUUGAAUCGUCGAAAAGUAAUGUCGUGCUAAACCGGAAGAACAAGGAGUUGCAAAAUAAAGUGGAGAUGCUAGAGGAGAAGAUG
Molecule: long non-coding RNA, 1294 nt
Organism: Macadamia integrifolia
Lineage: Eukaryota; Viridiplantae; Streptophyta; Magnoliopsida; Proteales; Proteaceae
Exons: 6
Source: RefSeq, a predicted model, not a curated record